CCCUUAGAUGUUCGGGGCCGCACGCGCGCUACACUGAAUGAAUCAGCGAGUGUAUGUCCUAGGCCGAAAGGUCCGGGUAACCCGUUGAACCUCAUUCGUGAUUGGGAUAGGGACUUGCAAUUGUUUCCCUUGAACGAGGAAUUCCCAGUAAGCGCAAGUCAUCAGCUUGCGUUGAUUACGUCCCUGCCCUUUGUACACACCGCCCGUCGCUACUACCGAUUGAACGGUUUAGUGAGGGCCUCGGAUUGGUCUCGGCCCGCUCUUUACCGGGCGGCGCCGUUGGUCGAGAAGACGCUCGAACUUGAUCGUUUAGAGGAAGUAAAAGUCGUAACA
Molecule: ribosomal RNA, 333 nt
Filed under: uncultured eukaryote
Lineage: Eukaryota
Description: partial 18S ribosomal RNA
Rfam family: Eukaryotic small subunit ribosomal RNA
Source: RNAcentral